Molecule: long non-coding RNA, 2390 nt
Organism: Vigna radiata var. radiata (mung bean)
Lineage: Eukaryota; Viridiplantae; Streptophyta; Magnoliopsida; Fabales; Fabaceae
Exons: 3
Source: RefSeq, a predicted model, not a curated record
CAAAACCGUUGUCUCAUAUUUUCCUUUAAUGAGGUUUCGAGAAAGGGAAUGGGAAAGGGUUUGCGAUCACACGACUCUGGGUCGCUACGUGCCGCUAAGGGCGCUCGUGCUCCGGUCUAAUCGAGGGUUUGGAUCGACGGCCGCUGCACAGUGCUACUAGAAGGAUGACGAGGGAGAGGAGCGCUCGGCACGCGGCAUGCUUGACGCCAAAGGUUGUAAGCCGAAGCGCGGAGUGCAGUGGGUGAUGAUAGGGGAGCCUGGAGCUAGGAGGAACGUCUUAGCGCAAAGGCUCUCGAAGCUUCUAAAAGUUCCUCACAUUUCCAUAGCUACGCUCUUCAACCAAGACCUCAACCCUCGCUCAUACCUCUAUGGAAAACUUGUCCUAGAGGAAAAUAUUCUUUUAUGACCAUUACGUUUCGUUCUUUUCGCGCUCACGGUCACACUAUCAAAGUUCCUUCAUCUAUAACAAUAUGUGGUGUAGUUCGGAAGACAUUGUUCCAUUGUUACCAAAUAUCGAUUGAGGCGAGGGUGUUGCAUUUUGGAAACAUUCGAAGUGGUAGUAAGGAGUAGCCAAAACAGGGUUUAUUCGGUCAACUUGGUGUAUUGGUAGUAUCGUACACUCAAAACCAUUAGCGAUUCUCGUCCUCUCUUUUCCCUCCCCCACCUUGAGUAGAUAACUAUAUUCUGGCUUCUUCCAAUGAAUUAUUUUGGUUAUUUUGUACUUUUGCAGGGCAUUAAGGGUGGUAAGGCUCUUACCAUUUCUCACACUUGCAUAUGCCCAGUUUUUUCAUCUUGAAACUUCGUCAUAUUGGGACAACUAAUUUUUUUAAACUAUAAACUAAUUUACUCAUGUUUAUUUAAUAGAGUGGCCUGUAUUUGGUGUUAAACGUUAUUUGUUCAGUCUGCUACUUUAUUUAACUUGAUAGAAUUGUGCUGGAACAAAUCAUGUUCAUUGGCUAUCAGAAACAAGUCCUAUCGUUUUGCAAGUUUAAUUACAUUCUUCUUGGUUUUCGGAAUUACCAGAUUGUUGAAAGUUAUUAUCAUUGAGAAUUUUAAAUUAACUUCAAAUUUUAUCUUCUAAUGUUUCUUAUGGUUCUUUUUGUUUGAUAUCAAAACUUAUCUCUAAAAUUCUUUAUAUGGCUCAAAAGAAAACACCUAACAUCUGCCUCUGUCUGACAGAAAAACUAUUCAAUGUUAUUCACUUUUAACUAUAUUGUUGCAAUUCCGUGAGUCUUGAUAGCUGAUUCAAACCAUUAAAAAAAUUGGACAUAAAAGGUAAUUUUAUUCUAAAAAUAUUUAUUUAUCCUAGAAGCUAAUUUUGUAAAGUAACCUUUCAUUACUAGUAUUCAUACUCUUUUUGUAUCCUGCUGCAUUUUACUGAUAAGACGAGAAAUUUACCAUGGUGAUUCACAAGUUAAUUUGUAUCUAUGAGAUUUUGAAUCCUAAUUUUGGAGAUUUUAAUGAUUUGAUGAUCUCAAUUCCUGCAAAUGGACAUGACAAUUGGUUUGCUUAUGUGAUUUCAUAAUGGGCCAAGCUGCAGGGUAUGCUUAGAUAUGCACAAACGAGUUCAAUUUUCUUCAAUGUGACAUAUGAUUAUAGGCUAUAUACAGGGAGGAUAUCAAAUAAAAGUAACUACAAUUGCCCUGGUCUUGUUGCUAACCAGCAUGUACAAUGAAUUGGGAAAAAUACAUGUCUAGGGCCAUCAUUACAAUGAAUUGGGUAAACUGACUAUUAACUUUUCUUCCAGGAUAUUACUUCCAGGAUAUGCUGACAAGCCAGUGGUGAUCUUCAGCAAGAGCACUUGCCAUUAUGUGAAAGCUAACAAUGUUUCUAUUUAGCUCCUAGCCUAGCUAUGAAAACUAUACAUCAAGUUUAGUGACAGAGCUUUUUCUAGUCUGUUCGUACUAGUGUACAACUUCAUUCUCAAUUUUUGUGUAAUGUAAGUCAAGUAUAUGCCUGACAUGACCAUGGGCCAAGGCAUGCACAUGUUAUCAAAUGCAAGGCUCAUUUAUAAAAGGAAAUAUAUUCUAUUGUAGAAAUAAAAUAGGAAUAAUUAAAUAGGAUAAGUUUACAAGUGUAUUUUCAUUUAAAAAUUUAAGGUCACAUACCUUUUUAGUUUUUUUAUUUUUCAUAAGAAUGGUCGAAGAGGUAAAAGCAUAUGAACUGUAUAAGUGAUAUGGAAUCCCAUAGAUUCAUUCAUGUAUCUUUAGAUACAGAGUCAUUUAAGAUUCAUCUUGAGAUACAUAUCUACUAUAAUCUUUUAUUUAUUUACUUUCUUUAGUGCAUCUUCUAGUGUGAGUAAGCAUCAUUUGACAAUGUGGCAUUCCAUUUUACUAAAGUUUGUACAGAGGUAACAUUUGGGAAUGCUAUUUUUCAUUACAUUGCAUUAG